UGGAACCUGCUGGGCGCAGCCUACCCCGAUUGAGAACUGUACAACUGUUUUCCUGACACGCCCGGCAAAAAAGUCCUUUGGAACAGGGCAUCAUACAGGGUGAGAAUCCCGUCUUUGGCCUGAGCAGUUGUCUUUUGCGAUACACUUUCAAAGAGUCAGGUUGUUUGGGAAUGCAGCCUAAAUUGGGUGGUAAAUCUCACCUAAAGCUAAAUAUUGGCGAGAGACCGAUAGCGAACAAGUACCGUGAGGGAAAGAUGAAAAGAACUUUGAAAAGAGAGUUAAACAGUAUGUGAAAUUGUUAAAAGGGAACCGUUUGGAGCCAGACUGGCUUGGCUGUAAUCAAUCUGGGCUUUUGCCCGGAUGCACUUGCGGCCUAUGCCUGCCAACGACAGUUUUAUUUGGGGGAAAAAACCAGGCGGAAUGUGGCCCCUUAGGGGGUGUUAUAGCCUCUUGGAAAAUACCCUGGAUUGGACUGAGGAUCGCAGCGAAUGCCAUUAGGCGAGAUUGCGGCGUGCUUUCGCUGAUAAAUGCUAGAAUUUCUGCUUCGGGUGGUGCUAGUGUUUAAAGGUGGAACCCGCGCUGUAUAUUUUUUAUUCGCUUAGGUUGUUGGCUUAAUGACUCUAAAUGACCCGUCUUGAAACACG
RNAcentral lists this ribosomal RNA (644 nucleotides) under Actinomucor sp. Its description in RNAcentral is "LSU rRNA". It matches the Rfam family "Eukaryotic large subunit ribosomal RNA", at positions 123 to 663 of the family's 3401-position model. Lineage: Eukaryota; Fungi; Mucoromycota; Mucoromycetes; Mucorales; Mucoraceae. The record is from RNAcentral.